AAAAAAAAGAAUAAAGUAAGGACAACAAUAAAGGUUUCUCAUUUAUUAAAGGGCUCCUCCCAUGCAAAUUGCAGUGUCAAUGUCAAAUAUGUAUGACGCUCCAAAAUUAAACUCAUUUUCCACCAGACCAUAUUUCUUGGUCUCACUUUGCAACUGCCACCCUAUCUAUACUUUUAAUAAAAUAAAAUAUUAAAAUACCACUUCAUAUAGUCCGCUAUGCAAAGUAAUCAAAUAAACCUUCCCCACC
RNAcentral lists this long non-coding RNA (247 nucleotides) under Solanum tuberosum (potato). Its description in RNAcentral is "long non-coding RNA (STUB_LNC002728)". Lineage: Eukaryota; Viridiplantae; Streptophyta; Magnoliopsida; Solanales; Solanaceae. The record is from RNAcentral.